RNAcentral lists this ribosomal RNA (293 nucleotides) under uncultured bacterium. RNAcentral's name for it is "partial 16S ribosomal RNA". It matches the Rfam family "Bacterial small subunit ribosomal RNA", at positions 505 to 796 of the family's 1533-position model. The record is from RNAcentral.
GUGUCAGCCGCCGCGGUAAAACGUAGGAGGCGAGCGUUAUCCGGAUUUACUGGGCGUAAAGCGCGCGUAGGCGGUUGGUCAAGUCGGAUGUGAAAGCCCCUGGCUCAACUGGGGGAGGCCAUUCGAUACUGAUCGGCUUGAGGGUGAGAGAGGAAAGUGGAAUUCCCGGUGUAGCGGUGGAAUGCGUAGAGAUCGGGAGGAACACCAGUGGCGAAAGCGGCUUUCUGGCUCACCCCUGACGCUGAGUGCACGAAAGCGUGGGGAGCAAACGGGAUUAGAAACCCCCGUAGUCC